GCACCCGUGGUGAAAUUGGCAUACACGCAAGAUUCAGGUUCUUGUGCCGCAAGGUGUGUGGGUUCGACUCCCACCGGGUGCACCA
This 85-nucleotide transfer RNA is filed under the name bacterium. RNAcentral's name for it is "tRNA-Leu". It matches the Rfam family "tRNA". From Rfam's summary of the family: Transfer RNA (tRNA) molecules are approximately 80 nucleotides in length. Their secondary structure includes four short double-helical elements and three loops (D, anti-codon, and T loops). The record is from RNAcentral. RNAcentral also lists the same sequence under 2 other names.